RNAcentral lists this ribosomal RNA (423 nucleotides) under uncultured bacterium. Its description in RNAcentral is "partial 16S ribosomal RNA". It matches the Rfam family "Bacterial small subunit ribosomal RNA", at positions 360 to 775 of the family's 1533-position model. The record is from RNAcentral.
AAUCUUGGACAAUGGGGGAAACCCUGAUCCAGCAAUCCCGCGUGUAUGAGGACGGCCUUCGGGUUGUAAAGCACUAUCGGCAGAGAAGCAAAGGUAUCUCCUACUACGUGAUACUGCUGACGGUAUCUGCAGAAUACGCACCGGCUAACUACGUGCCAGCAGCCGCGGUAAUACGUAGGGUGAAAGCGUUAAGCGGAAUUACUGGGCGUAAAGCCUGUGACGUGGGUUCGGAAAGAAAGAUGUGAAAUCCCAGGGCUCGACCUUGGAACUGCAUUUUUAACUGCCGAGCUAGAGUAUGUCAGAGGGGGGUAGAAUUCCACGUGUAGCAGUGAAAUGCGUAGAUAAGUGGAGGAAUACCGAUGGCGAAGGCAGCCCCCUGGGAUAAUACUGACGCUCAGACACGAAAGCGUGGGAAGCAAACAG